This 988-nucleotide ribosomal RNA is filed under the name uncultured archaeon. RNAcentral describes it as "bacterial SSU rRNA". It matches the Rfam family "Archaeal small subunit ribosomal RNA", at positions 21 to 1011 of the family's 1478-position model. The record is from RNAcentral.
AGGUUACUGCUAUCGAGGUUCGACUAAGCCAUGCGAGUCGAAUGUAGCAAUACAUGGCGUACUGCUCAGUAACACGUGGACAACCUACCCUUAGGACAGGUAUAAACCCGGGAAACUGGGUAUAAUCCCUGAUAGUCCUCGGCUGCUGGAAUGCAUCGAGGACGAAAGCUCCGGCGCCUAAGGAUGGGUCUGCGGCCUAUCAGGUAGUAGUGGGUGUAACGUACCUACUAGCCUACGACGGGUACGGGUUGUGAGAGCAAGAGCCCGGAGAUGGAUUCUGAGACACGAAUCCAGGCCCUACGGGGUGCAGCAGGCGCGAAAACUUUACAAUGCCGGCAACGGCGAUAAGGGGACCUCGAGUGCCAGGUUACAAAUCUGGCUGUCGUGAUGCGGGGGGGGGCAUUGCAUAGCAAGGGCCGGGCAAGACCGGUGCCAGCCGCCGCGGUAACACCGGCGGCUCGAGUGGUAACCGUUAUUAUUGGGUCUAAAGGGUCUGUAGCCGGCCGGAUAAGUCUCUUGGGAAAUCCAGCAGCUUAACUGUUGGGCUUUCAGGAGAUACUGUUCGGCUCGAGGCCGGGAGAGGUGAGAGGUACUUCAGGGGUAGGGGUGAAAUCUUGUAAUCCUUGAAAGGACCACCAGUGGCGAAGGCGUCUCACCAGAACGGACCUGACGGCAAGGGACGAAAGCUAGGGGCACGAACCGGAUUAGAUACCCCGGGUAGUCCUAGCCGUAAACGAUACUCGCUAGGUGUCGGCCACGGUGCGACCGUUGUCGGUGCCGUAGGGAAGCCGUGAAGCGAGCCACCUGGGAAGUACGGCCGCAAGGCUGAAACUUAAAGGAAUUGGCGGGGGAGCACCACAACGGGUGGAGCUUGCGGUUUAAUUGGAUUCAACGCCGGAAAUCUUACCGGGACCGACAGCGAUAUGAAGGCCAGGCUGAAGACUUUGCCGGAUUAGCUGAGAGGUGGUGCAUGGCCGUCGUCAGUUCG